This is a long non-coding RNA of Eriocheir sinensis (Chinese mitten crab), 829 nucleotides long. RefSeq lists it as uncharacterized. NCBI's taxonomy places the organism in Eukaryota, Metazoa, Arthropoda, Malacostraca, Decapoda, Varunidae. The transcript is spliced from 2 exons. The record is from RefSeq and is a predicted model, not a curated record.
UUUUCCCUUCUGCUAUUUGUUUUAUAUUCUCGAAGUUAUUUUUCCCAUUUUUACAUUAAGUGUUCUCUAUAUUAUCUCAAGGUCAAUUUCAUCUAAACCACCAUUGCUAUUUGUUUUAUAUUCUCUAAGUUAUUUUCCCAUUUCUCCAUUAAGUCUCCUCUAUAUUAUCUCAAGGUCAAUUUCAUCUAAGCCACCAAGCUCGCCCAUUCCGCCUGACCCGUCCCGUCCUGUCUGGGUUCUGGGUUCGUCGCCAAAAGAACUCUGUGCGUGCGUGAGUGUGCGUGAGUGCGUGCGUGAUACGGCGACAUGAGAGAGAGGGAGAAGGAGAGAGAGAGAAAGAGAGAAAGAAGAAAAGAAAAAAGAGAAAGAGUUCGCUGGAAAAUGCAUUGUUGAUAUAUUCUCUACCUUGGAACGCGAUGGACUAACUCUUUUUAUAUAAUUUUUUUUUACAUAAUCAUUUCUUACAUAACUCAUUCGUGUGGAGUGGAACGUGAGGAAGAGGGUGAAAGUAUGUGGAUAUGAGGCGAGGAAGGUUAUGUGGUUACGUGGAAAAGUAUGAGGGAAUUGUGGUAUAAGGAGGAGGUUAUGUGGUGAGGAUGGUAGAACUAUAUGGGUAUGAGGCGAGGGAGGUUAUGUGGCUAUGUGGAGAGGUAUGAUGAAGUAUGUGGUAUGAGGGGGAGAAUAAGGACAGUAAAAGUCGAGGAAAAAGUAUCUGAACAAACACUCCAAUAAAAAGUAAGUUAUAAAAAGAAAGUGAAAAGAAGUAAAGGAAAUAAAGAAAGCAAGUAAAUAAAAAAGUAACUAAUGAUAUAUUAAAAGAAAAAAAUAA